UCUCCUCCUUUGACCACCUCCCCACCUCCACCCCCUCCUUCCCUUCCCCCCAUCUUCCUCUACCCUUCCCUCCUCCUCCUCCUCCUCCAAUCAUCACUCCGAGCACUUAAUUCUCCUUUAUAAGAAGACAUCAUCUCUCUACUUUCUUGAUCCAUUGAUGGUUAUCCCUCCAAGCCUAACCCCCCAGGGCAGGAAAGAAUGGGCGCAUGCUUCUCCGCGGACACCAAAGUAAGCGGCGGCAUCGUGCCUACUCGCCUUAGGCCGAUAGGUCAGCCGCAGAAGCAGCAGCAACCGCAGCCAGAGCAGAAUAAUCAGGCACCGCGGGAGAAGCAACAGCAGAAUGACAGAGGCAAUAAGCGGCGGCCGUGCGGGCUUCUGUCGUGUGGCAAGAGGACCGAUUUUGGGUAUGCGAAGGAUUUCGAGAGCCGGUAUUCGAUCGGGAAGCUGCUUGGGCAUGGGCAGUUUGGGUAUACAUUUGUCGCCACCGAGAACUCCACCGAGGAGCGGGUGGCGGUGAAGAGGAUAGACAAGAGUAAGAUGAUCCUUCCUGUUGCUGUGGAGGAUGUAAAGCGGGAAGUAAAGAUACUGCAAGCCCUGAAAGGCCAUGAGAAUGUUGUCAAUUUUCAUAAUGCAUAUGAGGAUGAUUCCUAUGUGUAUAUAGUCAUGGAGUUAUGCGAGGGAGGUGAAUUACUGGAUCGGAUAUUGGCCAAAAAGGAUAGUCGCUACACUGAGAAAGAUGCUGCAAUAGUAGUAAGACAGAUGCUUAAAGUUGCAGCUGAGUGUCAUUUGCAUGGUUUGGUACACCGAGAUAUGAAGCCUGAGAACUUUCUUUUCAAAUCAACUGAAGAGAACUCACCUCUGAAGGCAACAGAUUUUGGCUUGUCUGAUUUUAUAGAGCCAGGGAAGAAAUUCCAUGCAAUUGUUGGUAGUGCAUAUUACGUUGCACCAGAGGUAUUAAAGCGGAAGUCUGGCCCUGAAUCUGAUGUUUGGAGCAUAGGGGUCAUCACUUAUAUUCUUCUUUGUGGAAGACAUCCCUUUUGGGAUAGAACUGAGGAUGGAAUAUUUAGAGAGGUGUUAAGGAACAAGCCUGAUUUUCGUCGGAAACCAUGGCCUAGCAUAAGCAACAGUGCCAAGGACUUUGUUAAGAAGUUAUUAGUAAAAGAUCCUCAUGUUAGACUCACUGCUGCUCAAGCUUUAUCAAAUCCAUGGGUGAGAGAAGGGGGCAAUGCAUUAGAGAUACCAUUGGAUAUCUCUGUUCUAUCAAACAUGUGCCAGUUUGUAAAGUAUAGCCGUCUAAAGCAGUUUGCUCUGAGGGCGCUAGCAAGUACUCUUGAUGAAGAUGAGCUAGCAAAUCUUAGGGAUCAAUUUCAAGCAAUUGAUGUUGAUAAAAGUGGUUCAAUAAGCCUUGAUGAAAUGAGACAAGCACUUGCCAAGGAUGUUCCUUGGAGAUUAAAGGGACCACGUGUUCUGGAGAUUCUUCAAGCUGUUGAUAGCAAUACCGACGGACUUGUUGACUUCACUGAAUUUGUUGCAGCAACUUUGCAUGUGCAUCAGAUGGAGUAACAUGAUUCUGAGAAAUGGCAUUUACAUUGUAAAGCUGCUUUUGAUAAAUUUGAUGUGGAUGGAGAUGGAUAUAUUACACCAGAGGAACUUAGAAUGCAUACAGGGUUGAGGGGUUCUACCGAACCAUUACUAGAGGAAGCUGAUAUUGACAAAGACGGAAAGAUUAGCUUGUCUGAAUUCCGUAAGUUACUAAGAACUGCAAGCAUGAGUUCCAAUGUUCCUAGUCCAUCUGGUAUAAGGAAUCCUCAGAAGUUCUAACUCCCACUGGGUAGAGGAAAAAGAUUGGCAGGAGUCAUAAACAUUACCAUUUCUAUAAUGUUCUUGCCAAAAAUUCUGAGGCUCAUUAUCAAGAACCAUAUGAGAUGGUUUUCUUCUCAGCAUGGGUGAAGUCUUCAAGUUGCUAGUGAGAGAUGAAAGGAUCAUUGGUAAAAGGAACUGCAAGAAAGCAUUAAUGGCCCGAUGUAGUAAUUUCGUGUCUUGCAUGGUACAUUAUGUGCUUAAGUUGAAGGGUCUCCUCCAUCUUUCAUCACGAAUGAAUGUGUUGUGUGUAUCCUA
Molecule: RNA transcript, 2118 nt
Organism: Musa acuminata AAA Group (dessert banana)
Lineage: Eukaryota; Viridiplantae; Streptophyta; Magnoliopsida; Zingiberales; Musaceae
Gene name: calcium-dependent protein kinase 4
Exons: 12
Source: RefSeq, a predicted model, not a curated record